GACGGAGGAUGCAAGCGUUAUCCGGAAUGAUUGGGCGUAAAGCGUCCGCAGGUGGCUGUUCAAGUCUGCUGUCAAAGACCGGGGCUUAACUUCGGAAAGGCAGUGGAAACUGAACAGCUAGAGUAUGGUAGGGGCAGAGGGAAUUCCUGGUGUAGCGGUGAAAUGCGUAGAGAUCAGGAAGAACAUCGGUGGCGAAGGCGCUCUGCUGGACCAUAACUGACACUCAGGGACGAAAGCUAGGGGAGCGAGUGGG
RNAcentral lists this ribosomal RNA (253 nucleotides) under uncultured bacterium. Its description in RNAcentral is "partial 16S ribosomal RNA". It matches the Rfam family "Bacterial small subunit ribosomal RNA", at positions 524 to 776 of the family's 1533-position model. The record is from RNAcentral.